RNAcentral lists this ribosomal RNA (433 nucleotides) under uncultured bacterium. RNAcentral describes it as "partial 16S ribosomal RNA". It matches the Rfam family "Bacterial small subunit ribosomal RNA", at positions 29 to 507 of the family's 1533-position model. The record is from RNAcentral.
AGCGAACGCUGGCGGCAGGCUUAACACAUGCAAGUCGAGCGGGCACUUCGGUGUCAGCGGCAGACGGGUGAGUAACACGUGGGAACGUACCCUUUGGUUCGGAAUAACGCUGGGAAACUAGCGCUAAUACCGGAUACGCCCUUUUGGGGAAAGGCUUGCUGCCGAAGGAUCGGCCCGCGUCUGAUUAGCUAGUUGGUGGGGUAAUGGCCUACCAAGGCGACGAUCAGUAGCUGGUCUGAGAGGAUGAUCAGCCACACUGGGACUGAGACACGGCCCAGACUCCUACGGGAGGCAGCAGUGGGGAAUAUUGGACAAUGGGCGCAAGCCUGAUCCAGCCAUGCCGCGUGAGUGAUGAAGGCCUUAGGGUUGUAAAGCUCUUUUGUCCGGGACGAUAAUGACGGUACCGGAAGAAUAAGCCCCGGCCAACUUCGUG